CUUUCGUCACUUGAGCGCAGAUAUCCAUAAAAAAACAUACCUCAUUUAGGGUUUCUGCCACCAUCUUACCUUCCUCUUCCUGCUUUUUUCAUCUUUCUCUUCAAAACCCUUUCAAUUCACACACACACACACACACUUCAACUCUUCUCCUUCAAAAUUUUCUAUAUCACUACCAAUUCUAUAUUGUUUUGGAUUAAUCCUUCUCCCUCACUUCUCUUGCAGUUCUCAUGAUUAGGGUUACCUGCACUUGAUUGCUGCUCUAUACGCCUACCACCUCUUUUCUUAGGUCUUCGAUUCAAUAUGGUAUAUACAUAUAUGUAGCCUUUUAUAUAUGUUCGUACAAUUUUUCGUCAAAUCUUUUUAAAAACAACAUAGUUCUCAGAUUUUUUAUACUUGCAUGGACAUACAUACACAUAUUUAUAUGUAUUUUAUACUCCUUGAUGUCAGUUCAGCUUUUCUCCUUUUCCUUUCCCUAAGUUUUCUUUUAUUUGAACCUGGCCUUGUUUUGGGCCUACUGAAACGCCUUUUCCAGUUACUUCUUCUGUUAGUUUUUGUGUGAAAAUUAAUAAGCAGUUAAUUACUAACAUAACAGGCUUUGCAAUUACAUUAGGUCAAUUUGGGUUCAGAUCAGCACAAAGGGUUUUCUAACUUGAACAAACUAUAUAUUUUGUCAUCUGAUCUAUUAUUAAUUCAUUGAUUCAUAUGAUAGAGAAUCUGAACAUGUCUGGUUUAAAGUGUGAUCCAUUUAUUCAAGUAAUUUCCCAUUUUAUCAUCAUCUAAACCCUUUAUAGGUUUGUUAAUUUGGUGAUAUAUAAGAAAGUAUAGUGUGAUGGAAGAGGCAAUUGUUAAUUAUGUGUGUGGCAGGAAGAAUGUGUGAGAAUAUGAGAAUAUGAAGAAGAUGCAGUGUAGAUGUGAAUGAGAGAAGGUACUGGGAGAGAAAGAGAACGAAGGAGCUUCCUUCAGCCCACGUAUAAAGGGUUGCUCAAGUAUCUGCUGACUCAUUCAUAGAGACACAGUAAGGGUUUAUAUAAGGCCAUUUUUCUACUGUAAUUGUGUGAAUGAAGCAGCAGAUAUUUUGCAUCCCUCUUGCUCUGUGCUUGGACUGAAGGGGAGCUCCUUCCUUCUCUUGUCUCCAUCAUUGAUAUUAAUACAUUUAUAUAUAUAAACAUAACAUUAUAAUAUAUAUCUGUCUCCAACAACAAAACCAAUUUCUUAGUAUUAUUCAUCCAGUGCCACAAAAAGUAGCAGCCACAACUCUGUAGCUGAUGUAACACAUCGUCUUCUAGGUCUUUGUAAGUAUUAACUCUUCCUCACUAGGCUGCCCAAGAUUCAGCCAACAUCUGCAACAGUCGCAUAUGAGUUUUAUAGCUGCAUGCCCCACCUAGUAGUACUUUUUCACUUCCAUCAUUUCACAACUCCUCAUCAACAUUACAUUACAUGGAAGAGAAUCUCAGCACUCUACAUGCUACUUUCCUUUCCGGUUCUUCAACACUACAGGCUCAGCUUCUCUCUCAUUUCCCCUUCCUUUCCUUCAAUUCUUUUUUCGGUGGCUGAAAAAGCAAAGUUUAGGUGAUGAUGGGUCCAACACUUCACAUGUUUGUAUUCCUUCCAAACUUUGCCUGCUUCAAGUUUCUUAAGAGUGGGACCGAGUAAAGUGUAAUAUUAUAAUUUAUAGAGAUAUGUGGAGAUUUAGAGACAUUGAGCAGACAGGAUAUUGAAGAAGAUUAUGAUGUCAGACAAAAGUAGUGACUGUAUAAUAUGAACUCUGAUCUCUUGGUUAUCCCUAUGACCUACUGCUACGUACAUGAAUUUUUGUGUAAAAGGAUAAGAGAUAAACUUGCCAUAUCUUUUGGUACAGAAACUCAUGAUUCGGAACCA
Vigna unguiculata (cowpea) is the source of this 1878-nucleotide long non-coding RNA. NCBI's taxonomy places the organism in Eukaryota, Viridiplantae, Streptophyta, Magnoliopsida, Fabales, Fabaceae. The record is from RefSeq and is a predicted model, not a curated record.